RNAcentral lists this ribosomal RNA (892 nucleotides) under Hansfordia pulvinata. RNAcentral describes it as "LSU rRNA". It matches the Rfam family "Eukaryotic large subunit ribosomal RNA", at positions 36 to 958 of the family's 3401-position model. The record is from RNAcentral. Lineage: Eukaryota; Fungi; Ascomycota; Sordariomycetes; Xylariales.
UAGCAUAUCAAUAAGCGGAGGAAAAGAAACCAACAGGGAUUGCCCUAGUAACGGCGAGUGAAGCGGCAACAGCUCAAAUUUGAAAUCUGGCCUUCUGGUCCGAAUUGUUUUUUACAGAAGAUGCCUUUGACGCGGUCCCUUUCGAGUUCCUUGGAACGGGACGCCUUAGAGGGUGAGAGCCCCGUAGGAUUGGGCACCAAGUCUCUGUAAUGCUCCUUCGACGAGUCGAGUAGUUUGGGAAUGCUGCUCUAAAUGGGAGGUAAAUUUCUUCUAAAGCUAAAUACCGGCCAGAGACCGAUAGCGCACAAGUAGAGUGAUCGAAAGAUGAAAAGCACUUUGAAAAGAGGGUUAAAUAGCACGUGAAAUUGUUGAAAGGGAAGCGCUUAUGACCAGACUUUUUCUAGGGGGAUCAUCCGGCGUUCUCGCUGGUGCACUUCCCCUGGUUUAGGCCAACAUCGGUUUCUGCGGGAGGAUAAAGGCUUCGGGAAUGUGACUCCUCCGGGAGUGUUAUAGCCCGUUGCAUAAUACCCUCGCGGGGACCGAGGUACGCGCAUUGCAAGGAUGUUGGCAUAAUGGUCAUCAGUGACCCGUCUUGAAACACGGACCAAGGAGUCGAACAUUUGUGCGAGUGUUUGGGUGUCAAACCCUCACGCGUAAUGAAAGUGAACGGAGGUGAGAGCCUUAGGGUGCAUCAUCGACCGAUCCUGAUGUCUUCGGAUGGAUUUGAGUAAGAGCAUAACUGUUCGGACCCGAAAGAUGGUGAACUAUGCGUGGAUAGGGUGAAGCCAGAGGAAACUCUGGUGGAGGCUCGCAGCGGUUCUGACGUGCAAAUCGAUCGUCAAAUCUGCGCAUGGGGGCGAAAGACUAAUCGAACCAUCUAGUAUCUGGUUAC